This 71-nucleotide transfer RNA is filed under the name Bos taurus (domestic cattle). It matches the Rfam family "tRNA". Rfam says of the family: Transfer RNA (tRNA) molecules are approximately 80 nucleotides in length. Their secondary structure includes four short double-helical elements and three loops (D, anti-codon, and T loops). The record is from Rfam by way of RNAcentral. RNAcentral also lists the same sequence under 5 other names. Lineage: Eukaryota; Metazoa; Chordata; Mammalia; Artiodactyla; Bovidae.
UCCUGGUGGCUCAGUGGUAAAAGAAUCUGCCUGCAAUGCAGGAGACCUGGGUUCAAUCCCUGGGUCAGGAA